UGGGGAAUAUUGCACAAUGGGCGCAAGCCUGAUGCAGCGACGCCGCGUGAGGGAUGGAGGCCUUCGGGUUGUAAACCUCUUUCGCCAGUGAAGCAGGCCAUCUUCUUUGUGGGGUGGUUGACGGUAGCUGGAUAAGAAGCGCCGGCUAACUACGUGCCAGCAGCCGCGGUAAUACGUAGGGCGCGAGCGUUUUCCGGAAUUAUUGGGCGUAAAGAGCUCGUAGGCGGCUGGUCGCGUCUGUCGUGAAAUCCCCUGGCUUAACUGGGGGCUUGCGGUGGGUACGGGCCGGCUUGAGUGCGGUAGGGGAGACUGGAAUUCCUGGUGUAGCGGUGGAAUGCGCAGAUAUCAGGAGGAACACCGGUGGCGAAGGCGGGUCUCUGGGCCGUUACUGACGCUGAGGAGCGAAAGCGUGGGGAGCGAACAGG
This 425-nucleotide ribosomal RNA is filed under the name bacterium. Its description in RNAcentral is "partial 16S ribosomal RNA". It matches the Rfam family "Bacterial small subunit ribosomal RNA", at positions 355 to 776 of the family's 1533-position model. The record is from RNAcentral.